RNAcentral lists this ribosomal RNA (346 nucleotides) under uncultured bacterium. RNAcentral's name for it is "bacterial SSU rRNA". It matches the Rfam family "Bacterial small subunit ribosomal RNA", at positions 29 to 402 of the family's 1533-position model. The record is from RNAcentral.
AACGAACGCUGGCGGCAUGCCUAACACAUGCAAGUCGAACGAAGCCUUCGGGCUUAGUGGCGCACGGGUGCGUAACGCGUGGGAAUCUGCCCUUGGGUUCGGAAUAACAGUUAGAAAUGACUGCUAAUACCGAAUGAUGUCUUCGGACCAAAGAUUUAUCGCCCAAGGAUGAGCCCGCGUCGGAUUAGCUAGUUGGUGAGGUAAAGGCUCACCAAGGCGACGAUCCGUAGCUGGUCUGAGAGGAUGAUCAGCCACACUGGGACUGAGACACGGCCCAGACUCCUACGGAGGCAGCAGUGGGGAAUAUUGGACAAUGGGCGAAAGCCCUGAUCCAGCAAUGCCGCGU